RNAcentral lists this ribosomal RNA (500 nucleotides) under uncultured microorganism. Its description in RNAcentral is "bacterial SSU rRNA". It matches the Rfam family "Archaeal small subunit ribosomal RNA", at positions 234 to 734 of the family's 1478-position model. The record is from RNAcentral.
UGGUGGGGUAACGGCCCACCAAGCCGAAGAUCCGUACGGGCCAUGAGAGUGGGAGCCCGGAGAUGGACCCUGAGACACGGGUCCAGGCCCUACGGGGCGCAGCAGGCGCGAAACCUCCGCAAUGCGGGAAACCGCGACGGGGUCAGCCGGAGUGCUCGCGCAUCGCGCGGGCUGUCGGGGUGCCUAAAAAGCACCCCAUAGCAAGGGCCGGGCAAGGCCGGUGGCAGCCGCCGCGGUAAUACCGGCGGCCCGAGUGGCGGCCACUUUUAUUGGGCCUAAAGCGUCCGUAGCCGGGCUGGUAAGUCCUCCGGGAAAUCUGGUCGCUUAACGAUCAGACUGCCGGAGGAUACUGCCAGCCUAGGGACCGGGAGAGGCCGGGGGUAUUCCCGGGGUAGGGGUGAAAUCCUGCAAUCCCGGGAGGACCACCUGUGGCGAAGGCGCCCGGCUGGAACGGGUCCGACGGUGAGGGACGAAGGCCAGGGGAGCGAACCGGAUUAGAU